This is a small nuclear RNA of Phyllostomus discolor (pale spear-nosed bat), 102 nucleotides long. The record is from RefSeq and is a predicted model, not a curated record. Lineage: Eukaryota; Metazoa; Chordata; Mammalia; Chiroptera; Phyllostomidae.
GUGCUCACUUCAGCAGCACACAUACUAAACUGGAAUGAUACGGAGAUUAGCAUUGCCCCUAGACAAGAUGGUAUGCAAAUUUGUAACAUGUUCUGUGUUUUG